ACAUAAAUUCUUUUGCGCAUUCAGAAGAUGGAGAUGAGAAGUGCCACCCUAUGCUUCCUCAUCAUACUUGUGUUACUUGGAAGUUGUACUCACGCAGAGAACUGCAACUCUCAUGAAAUUACAAUUGAUGCAUGCGUGAAGCCAAUUUGUAAGUUGGUAUGUCUCGCUUCCUAUAGGAAGCAUUUGAGGGAGUAUGAUUGCACGGGCAACCCACCGGUUAUUUGUGUUUGCUAUGUAUGCGAUGAUUAGGCUUUGUAAGAUGAAUGUCCUGAGGGUCAUCAGAUAUGCUACAUAAUAAAUGAGGACCCUGGAAAUGCCAUCUUUGCCAUCGCCCUCUCCAUGUCCACCUUGUUUAGUGGAAUAAUUCUUCUGCUAGUAAUUUUGAA
Molecule: long non-coding RNA, 386 nt
Organism: Triticum dicoccoides
Lineage: Eukaryota; Viridiplantae; Streptophyta; Magnoliopsida; Poales; Poaceae
Exons: 2
Source: RefSeq, a predicted model, not a curated record